CUGGUACCUUCGGUGCCCGAGUUGUAAUUUGGAGAGGGCAACUUUGGGGCCGUUCCUUGUCUAUGUUCCUUGGAACAGGACGUCAUAGAGGGUGAGAAUCCCGUGUGGCGAGGAGUGCGGUUCUUUGUAAAGUGCCUUCGAAGAGUCGAGUUGUUUGGGAAUGCAGCUCUAAGUGGGUGGUAAAUUCCAUCUAAAGCUAAAUAUUGGCGAGAGACCGAUAGCGAACAAGUACAGUGAUGGAAAGAUGAAAAGAACUUUGAAAAGAGAGUGAAAAAGUACGUGAAAUUGUUGAAAGGGAAGGGCAUUUGAUCAGACAUGGUGUUUUGUGCCCUCUGCUCCUUGUGGGUAGGGGAAUCUCGCAUUUCACUGGGCCAGCAUCAGUUUUGGUGGCAGGAUAAAUCCAUAGGAAUGUAGCUUGCCUCGGUAAGUAUUAUAGCCUGUGGGAAUACUGCCAGCUGGGACUGAGGACUGCGACGUAAGUCAAGGAUGCUGGCAUAAUGGUUAUAUGCCGCCCGUCUU
This 519-nucleotide ribosomal RNA is filed under the name Saccharomyces cerevisiae (brewer's yeast). RNAcentral's name for it is "eukaryotic LSU rRNA". It matches the Rfam family "Eukaryotic large subunit ribosomal RNA", at positions 122 to 655 of the family's 3401-position model. The record is from RNAcentral. Lineage: Eukaryota; Fungi; Ascomycota; Saccharomycetes; Saccharomycetales; Saccharomycetaceae. RNAcentral also lists the same sequence under 1 other name.